GAUCAUGAACUUAACCUCCUUAUUUAUGUAAAGACUGGGUUUCAAAACUAUUCAUAUUUCUUCUUAUAAUGAAAGCAGAGGGCUCCCAUUCAGUCUAAAAUGUACAUUUGCUCACAGAAAAGCUACAGGAGAUGUUUCUACCCUCUUGGGACUCUUGAACAGAAUGCUGGUCUGUGUGCAGAAGAUGCUGUUGGCUAGUUUCGAACAAAGAUGUAUGUGUGAAUGUUUGUCCACCCAAGAGGAUCAGCAGCAGUUCGGUUUCCAAAAGCAACUGGCUCUUGGAGGCAGAGGCAUCCCCUGUGUUGCAACUGUAUGAGCCACAUACCCCUCCCAUGUAAAUUGGUUCCCGGAUAAAUGAGAGUGAGUGGGAAUGAUUGAAAUACAAUGGUAGCAGGCCUCUACUGAAUGGCCUGUAAUGACUGGGCCAUCACCUCGCAUUGAUUCAUCCAUGAACCAUGGACCUCACCCAGAAACAGAGACAAGAACCCAGCAUUUGAAAGACAAAGCCCUGCAGAACCAGCCACUCUACCAUUGUACCCCACCAUUACAGACACCCGAAACUGCACAUCCCUGCAUGAAGCACACAUGCUCAGUACACCAGGGGCUGACCCUUGCCUGGGCAUGCCUCCUGUCACUAGGGUCACACAAGGUCUGCCCCUAUAAAAAGGGGCAGUGAAGACAGACCCAGUGGGAUGCCCUCUCUAUCUGGACCAGCACCAUGCCACACCAGCUAUCCACCCAGAGGCCCUGCUGGAGACGCCCCUCUGGACAACACCUACUGGACAAGGACCUCUUUCCAGCCUGGAUAGGUGGCUAUCACCCCCCACCCCCUCUUCAACCAAGGACUUGGACUCUGCUUCUCCUCCCUACCUGGACUCCAGCCCUUCAACUGAGUCUUUCUCUUGCUGCCAUUGUGAGUGCUUUUCUUUGUGUGUGUAAACAAGAAACUUUAUGGGGCUGUGUAGUGUGUUGUCUGUGUAAUAAAACUGUUAU
Molecule: long non-coding RNA, 993 nt
Organism: Alligator mississippiensis (American alligator)
Lineage: Eukaryota; Metazoa; Chordata; Crocodylia; Alligatoridae
Exons: 3
Source: RefSeq, a predicted model, not a curated record